UGGUAUUAUCUAAUAUUUUAAUUGUGUUUACAUUUUUAUGAAUUUGAAUUUUUUUAUGAAUUUGUGCAUUUUUUUAAAACAGUAGUUUAAAAACUACUUAACUUGCAAACCAAAGAUUACUUUGUAUCAUUGUCUUUUAAUUUCUUUGGUCAUUUUGCAAUCCAAUUAUGUGGCACCGGUAGAAGCAGCAUCUUCAAACUGACUGAAAAGCAGUAUGCUUUACUCUAAGACUACAUGCAUGAUGAUUUGCACCUGCAAGUGUAUGUAUAGCAUAUUGAAGAUGCAAUAAUUUGCCAUAUUUGAGGCAUAAACACAGUAGUUUAGAUUGUAGUAAAUACUAAUUGGAAAAAAAAAACAGUAUGUGUGAUCCUACAGUGUUGUUACUCUGAUGUGUACAAGCAUGGUGAAUAUUAUAGAUGUAAAAACAUUUUCUGCAGCAACAGAAAACAUCACUGAAAUCUUGUCCAGUAGUGGUCCUAGUAUUUAAAGAUAUGUCCAUUAAUUAUUGGUUCAAAUCUGUAUCUCAUAUUCACAGUGGUGCUUUGCAUUUGUUGGCAUUUAUUUACGGAUUAUGACUUUAAUUUAGAGGGUAACACAAGAACCAUAUUACAGCAGGACCGACAGCUAGCUUAUUAGCUCCACAGCAGUUCACUCGGUAACACAGCUAGCUAGCAGAUACACCUGCACUAUUGCUCGCCCUGUCGAAAUUAAAUGGUUAACGUUAAUAUGCCGGCAGUUUGCUAAAGUAUUUCCGUGACGUACACCGCCAGCAUUCGGUCAGUUACACGCUUCGCUAACGUCUGUAGCAGCGACGCUAGCUCACAACAAGCUGGUGACAUGACUCUUGUUUACAUCCCUGUACCUGCUAGCUAAAAGAGCAGCCGACGCUCCAUGUGUGUUGCCACGGCAACGGAGCGGGAGGACGAGGGAGAGGCGCUGCUGUCAUCCACAUCAGUGCACCGCUGCAGACACACAGCAGUUCACACGGGCUGUGUAUGGAGUUGGGAUCUCCUGCCAUGCCUGUGACUAGCUGCUUCGUCAUCUCUGUGCCACACCCUGCCGAGGAAAAGGACAACCACCUGACCUUGAUGCUCACAUCAGCCCAACCCUCACUUUUUCCCUCCGCCGCCUAUUACUGAGAGGUACCAUUUAUUUCUACUCUCUUGAGGCGUCUUGAUAGUGUAAGGAUUUUUAUUGCAUUCCAUUGCUUUGCAUGUAGCUGUCACAAAAAACACCUCCAAGGAA
Molecule: long non-coding RNA, 1245 nt
Organism: Epinephelus moara (kelp grouper)
Lineage: Eukaryota; Metazoa; Chordata; Actinopteri; Perciformes; Serranidae
Exons: 3
Source: RefSeq, a predicted model, not a curated record